This 489-nucleotide ribosomal RNA is filed under the name uncultured bacterium. Its description in RNAcentral is "bacterial SSU rRNA". It matches the Rfam family "Bacterial small subunit ribosomal RNA", at positions 15 to 518 of the family's 1533-position model. The record is from RNAcentral.
GAUUAUGGCUCAGGAUGAACGCUGGCGGCGUGCCUAACACAUGCAAGUCGAACGAAGCAGUCCUCCUCGGAGGACUGACUGAGUGGCGGACGGGUGAGUAACGCGUGGGUAACCUGCCCUGUACAGGGGGAUAACAGUCAGAAAUGACUGCUAAUACCGCAUAAGCGCACGGGAAGACAUCUUCCAGUGUGAAAAACUCCGGUGGUACAGGAUGGGCCCGCGUCUGAUUAGCCUGUUGGCGGGGUAAUGGCCCACCAAGGCGACGAUCAGUAGCCGGUCUGAGAGGAUGAACGGCCACAUUGGAACUGAGACACGGUCCAAACUCCUACGGGAGGCAGCAGUGGGGAAUAUUGCACAAUGGGGGAAACCCUGAUGCAGCAAACCGCCGCGUGAGUGAAGAAGUAUUUCGGUAUGUAAAGCUCUAUCAGCAGGGAAGAUAGUGACGGUACCUGACUAAGAAGCUCCGGCUAAAUACGUGCCAGCAGCUGC